Pomacea canaliculata is the source of this 9700-nucleotide long non-coding RNA. RefSeq lists it as uncharacterized. Lineage: Eukaryota; Metazoa; Mollusca; Gastropoda; Architaenioglossa; Ampullariidae. The record is from RefSeq and is a predicted model, not a curated record. The transcript is spliced from 2 exons.
CAGAACAUAUAACAACUGAAAUAAGUUUCAGACACAUUAAAUUUAAUAGCUUUGUCAAUAAGAGUCAAGAUUUUGGGUGAUGCAUAUAUAUAUAUAUAAUAUUAAUAGUAACAGUUAUCAUUCAUUUGCAAAUUGGUGCCCCAGCUCCACUUGAAGCUGGGCAGAUCAGCUUUUUUUUUAUAAGACAUCUGUUGAGUUCUGCAAUACAUAGUCUAGUUUUUAAUGUACAUGUAUACAGACCAUGUCACUUGAAAACAUGGCUCACAAAACAUUUGUGGAAUGAAUGAAGCGAGCAUAUGACCAGAUGAAGAAAAAUUCCAAUCAUGCACAGUUGCGACACAGUUUGUUGGUCCACAGCACCCAGCGCUCACAAUGUUCUCCUUAAACAGAAUUUAUCAGCAACAACCACGACUUUCCGCAAUGUCACCCAGCGAAUGAGAUAUGCGCCACUUGCGUACUGAUCUUUUGAACGACUUAUUUCUAAAUCUUCAUGGUUACUACUACAAUUCUCAGUCUGUGAGAUGGGAGGUGGUGUUUACAAAAAAAAUCCAGACAACUUUUGGAACUGGCAUGGACUGCUUGAAACAUGUCACGUCACUGCACCAAUGAACAAACAAAUAAACAAGUGGAAAAAUUAUCGGUGAGCACAGCAGGACAGUCUCCAAACUGUCUCAAAUGCUUGAAAAAAAUAUCAUCACAAAAAUAGUUUGAAGCGAAGGGACUAACAAGGUUAGAUAUAUACUUUUCUUCUCUGUUUUCGCAUCAAGGGCCGUAUAAAUGGCAAGGAGUCCUGUACAAAAUGAGGUGUACUCACGACAACAUGUAAGGUACAACAUUCUUUAGUCACCUCUCAACUUGUCUCGCACCACCAUCCACGAGCACCACACAAACUCUCUUUUCCAAGCUCACCAUGCAGAACAUCAAAAUCUCCUAGCAACACCACUACACGGACGACACGACGCUUCAUUCAACUAAUGACCACAUUCAACACCUAAUACUUUCCACAAAAUUCUGCACGAAAUAAAUCCCCAACAGGGCAUAUGUAUCUUCAUAAGGCUGGCCAUACAAAAGAUUUGCGGUUUCACCACCCCACUCUCAAGAAACAACACUUUUCAGAAAAAACAGAUCGAAAGCACUCAUCUCCUCACAGAAAGAGAGGAUGAAGGAUUGAGGAGAGAGGGAGUGUGGUAGAUUAAAAAAAAAUGCAACAGAGGCAUUUUUUUCCUUUAAUCAAAAUAAGUGUGUCGGAGGGCAAGGUCGGUGUGGAUGGAGAAAAGGCAUGUAAAAAAACUAAAUAAAUAAAUCUCAGACGUUGCAAUAAUUAAAAUAUAGUCAUUUUAAAAGCCAGCAGCCAGCUUUCAUAAUAUCAGCGCUUAAUCGACAGACUCUAAGUUUGUUCCGAUUAGCAGACCCCUGCUCAGUGGCUUCUCUCGUACAGUUAACAGCUGCAGAGAAGCGGUGCCAUGGCAAGGUUUGUGCGGCAGGUGUCAAGAUUUUAAAAAACCCCACAAAGUUAAACCCCUUCUCCCCAUCAACAAUCUCUGCAGCAUCACAGAACUUUCCAACCUGCUGUAAACGAAAGCCCAAACUCCCGAACUUGUAUGCUUACAUGGCAUCAUUUAGCAUUAUCUUCCCCCCUCUCCCAGCUCAUUUGCAUAGCAUGGAGUUCAUGAUGCAUCAAAAUAAAUUGGCGCUGCAAAGUGGCGCUACAUCAAUUAAAAGCAAAAUCCAAGUUUUGCUUUAAAAAAAAGUCACAGACCCGCAGAGAACUGUGCAUCCGUAUCAUUUAGCACUUCUUCGCACAAGAAUGGAGCCAGUGUGGCUCACUUCAGACACGGCCCUAGGUAGACAUUUGACAAAUGGACUAGCUCUGCGGUUUUCAAUCACUGCUUCAACUACGCGAAACAACAGCUUCUCACAUACUGGUGUAUAUAAAUGUAACACUACAACAUGGGCAAACGGGGUGGGCUUCAUUUUUUUUCUGAAACAAAAUCUAUAUUUGUUAUUAUAAAAAAAUUACAAUAAAUGAGCAGUCACGUCAUGGUAAAAUAUUUUAAAAAAAACUGAUUAGAACCUAUGUAUUGGCAUCGUGCAUUGAAGAUUUGUGUUAUUCUGUGGUUGUUUACUGCCAAUAAAAUGUAUACCAAAGAUCUCUGCCGAUUAAAAAUAUCAAAAUACUCUGAAAAUAAAACACAUGUAGGAAUCUUGAACACGAUAGGACGAAGCCAAGAAGCUAUCAAUGUCUAAAGACCCCCGCACCCCCCCACACCCAAAACAAACAAACAAACAAACAAAAAACGAAAAAAAAAAACAAAAAAACAAACAAAAACAAUUUUUUAUACCUAUCAGAUCUACCAGUAAAGCUGGGAAAAAAUCCCUACACGAUCCUUUGCGCUAGCCAGUCAACGAGAAAAAUGAGAGACAAAAGCAAAAAAAAAGUACUGUAGUCGGUGGAUGGGGGCGAACAUCCAUAAUUUAUGCAUAAAUAUUCUCAGCAGAUCACGCGAGUAGUGUUUUAAGACGUGCUAAGACAAAACUUGUGUUUUCUAAAGACCACAAGGCAAGACACCCGUUCCCUUCCCACCCCCGACUUUUAAAAACUGUUUAUGGCUUUUCUGAACACCACUACUAUCAAUGUCCAUUUGUCUGAAGAGAUAGGAGUAACACAUAUCUAUCAACAGUCUUUACAAACCCUAACCCUAUCUGUCAUCUGGCACCUUUUCUCAAUCUAAAUCACUUCAGCAGAAGAUGGACCAGUUCCAAAACAGGUCCCCACCCCACUACCCCGGUGUGGGUACCGGUCACAAGACUAGCAUCACAGCACAGAAUGUAGGGGCCAGGUGCAGGGAACGCUCAUGGCUAGACAGGCACGUGACAGCGGCAGGUUGUGCUGUUAAAGUCCAGUUCUGCGCUGUCGAGACAUUUACUAAUUUUGGAUGAAACUAAAAAAUAGUAUUUACCUAGUAUGGUAGACUGAAUUUUGUUUUUAAUACAAACCAUAAUUUUCAAAAACACAAAAAUAUACCCUAUAACACUAAAAAUACUUCCUUAUUCACACUGCUGCAUGUAAAACAAAAAUAUCCAGUUAUCUUACCCUGCUUUGGUGAGCUGAUGCAUACCCUGACAAAUACCAAGCAUGACCUGAACUCUUCAAACAUUCAAUGACUUCGAGCAUUAUAUAUAUUUAAAAAAAUAAAGAGGUGUUACAAGAUGCAGAAGAAGGGUGUGAAGAACAUUUACUAAUAGUUUACACUGUUAGUUCCUAUGAAACGCUGCAGGGCUAAAAUUCAUUGACAACAGAACUGCUAACAGGAAAAUCCUUCAGCGACCUCCCUGUACAGUCUGCAAUGCCAGAUAAUAACUUGACAAGCAAGAUCAACCUCUUUGUCACUCUCUAGCGACCUAAGACCUAAAGGGGAAAAGACUUUGUGAAAUUUUGCGUAGAGACAGACUUAUACAGAAAUAAUGUAUACAAACCAGGACUUCAUAGUUCAGAAAAGAAACAGCAUGGUACUUGGACAAUGCAUGUUCCAAACUCCACUGCACAGAGUACAAUCAACUGAAGCAGCUUCGUCUGGGUGUAGGUAUUACAGACCCCUCAGGACUGGGGUGGGAGGUGAGAGGAAGUACAGUUAGCUGGCUACUAAGUACACAGAUGCUGUUGCUCUGACUACUCAUGAGACUUCUGAAUAUUUCAUGGACUGAGUACAUUUACAUCCAAAGCAGACUAGAUAUGCAAGCCAAUUCAUCAGUCACUUCUUGUCAUAAUUAAGGAGGAAACUGUCAUGGUUUGGCCCUGUAAUUGGUGGCACACCCCUCUGAGACUAACCAACAUGGUAUGUUGGUAGGAGGGAGGCAACACAAAAACUGGUCUAGACCAAAGCCUUAGAUGCCAUCUGGACACUCCAACCUUGCUAUUUCUAGCAGAUAAAAGAGCACAGUCAGUUGCUGCAUCUUCCAUGUUACUUUACCAAAUGCAAGUCAAUGACUCAAACUUAACUAGUGGUAAUACAGCCAGACAGACUUAAGGAAAUGCCUUCCAAACUUUCCUCUUCAGCUCAGAGGAUGACCAUACACCGGAGAAAUUAUAUAAACAGCUUAACCCUAAAGCACUGGCAAACCAAAAGAAGAAAAGAAGGUGAAAUAAAUAAAAGGUUUCAAAUGACAAUUUGGAAAUGGAAUGUAAGCAAAAAUAUGCCAUAACAAACUGAAAUAAAUGUGAUCACUAUGCCCAUAGCAGUACUCCAGAAAAGAAGUUUUACUGUUGCACUGUGUGGUGACUAGACAGAAUCAUUUCUAUAGAUUUGGUUUCUUUUUCACAGGGAACUCCAAAUAUGCAUAUCAUAAAAUAGUUUGGGUGUAUAUACAGCCAUGGAAUAGCUCUAAUCGGCUCCAGAUUAAAAAGAAUAAUAAAAACCAUGGAAAGUUCAAAUGAUUCUGAUAAUAUAUUUAACCAGUUUAAAAAGGACUUUGAUGAUUAUUAAAAAGAGUGAAAAAACAGCCCAGAUUCUGAACAAUUGGAAAGCCCUAUUAACACAAGGCAUUGUUUCCCCAUCCCAGUUUAAAACACGAAAAUCACUGAUGGCAAGAAAAUAUAAGAUAGGAUCACACACCCAUUUUUGUUUGUAAAGCAGCAGUGGCCAGCAUACAAAUACAUUUUAUCAAAGAAUCCUGGUGAAUCUGUGAACACUGGUUUUGUUUCCUGCUUCAUGGCGUUAAGCCUUGUUGCACCUACUUUCACCUACCACUAUGAGAAUGAACAGCUCUAAUGAAAAUAAUACACUGUGUGGGCAAAAAAAAAAAAAAGAGAGAGAAAGAUAAAAGUAAUGCAAUUCAUGUUAAGGAAUUCUGUUACCUACACUGCUUCAGUCAUUCAAUAUCCACAAGAAGGAUCUUGUCUGCAUUUUAUACACAAAGAGAUUUAUAAUUCUUUCUCACCUCAUCUUAUGCUCAAGUGUUUAGCAGCUUUGAUUUGAUUUCAAAUUGGUGUCAUAGUCAUAGAAGUUGCACACAAGGUUCAACAGUAACCAAAGCACCUUUUGUAAAGGCUUAUUCAAUUUCCACCAAGAUCACACAUUCACUUGCACUGCCCCGCAAACUGAAUAACGACAUCCCUCCUCCCAAAUUAAACUCGAAGAAGUAACCAUGAAAUAAAAUAUUAAACAGACAGAAGAUAAAUACAAGAUAAUGAAAUUGUAGAUGGAGGCCAGAUAAAUACAUUUUAGGACAAAUUGCAUAAUAAUCAAAAACAGAUUUAAUAAAAAAAACCCAACUAACUUAUUUCAGCAACAUGUUAAUAAAAUAGUCUCUUGACGCUGUACAUAUGACACAGCACUUCCUGUAUCUUCAACCAAAAAACUUGCUGGAAUUUCUUGCUCACUUUAACAGAUUUUGAGCUGCCAUUGCACUAGUCUAGGCCGGUCAUUCAUGACAUGUCAUUCUUGGGAUAACAAAUUCAUAACCGUUUUAAGCAUGUACAGGAAAAAGUGGUGGUAAGAACUGGCAGAACUGGCUGUGGUACAUGAACACUGGAUCCUGAUGUGGUGAAUCAGGAUGUAAAGGGACUGACUUUACAUGGCAGUACUUUGCGACAACACUGAAACAAGCUUCGUCUGUAGUACAUUCACUCACACUCACUUGCACACUGCAUGAGGUAAUGGGCCAGCACAUAACUAAAAAAAAAAAAAAGAAACAAAAUUCUUUAACAAAAGGAUAUUAAACCCCAAUCAACCCUUCUUGAGAGCCUUUUCAUAUAUAUAUAAAAACACCCCAGGUUAUGACCUGCACAUACUAUACUUGAUCAAUGACCAACACUGCUCUGAUCCAGGCAAACAAAGCACAAAAAUGACUAUAAGCCAGCAAGAAUAAAGAAGUGGUCUAAAGUUGUGCCAAUAAAAUCCAGAAUUCUUAUUUGGAGUAAUGGUCACAGAUUAGAUUGGUCUGGGAAGGUUCAUAGGCUGAGAUGAUCUUAGGAAGUCACAAUUAGCAACAAUUUACUGAUAGCGUGUGUUGUUAGUAUUAAAGUGAUCUACAGACAAAUUACAAAUGGUUAAACAGUCCGAGGAUGUUCUAUGUUUAAAGCUCAAGCAACAAUAUUCCCACAUGUUGGAAAAAAUACAAAUAUUGUUGAUUGUUCAACCCUUUAGCAGUAAUAAAGGAAAAUGGAGUCUAUUUCUUUGAUAAAUUAGUUUUUUCCACUACUUCUAAACCUAAAAGAACUCUGUGGCAGCUUGCAUUGUCAAAAAUUACAAUGAUCUGAAACAAAAGCUGAAAUUGCAGCUAUGAUGCUAGAUACAUAUUUUCAAGAUUUUUAAUGUACUCAUAAAUAUUACAAUAUUAUAUACAUAUCCCCUUGUUCAAAAAAGUAUAAAAGUGGUGCUUUUUUGCAAGCUUUAGCACCACAUAAGAAUCAGCACAAAUUUCAUAACUAAAGUCAGCUAGGCAUGAAUCCCAAGGAAAUAUUAAUCAUUUGGAACUAUUCUGAAGCUGUAAUCCUUGCCACACAAGAAAAAUUAUAUGAGCAAAGACUGCAGAGUAUGCAGUUAUAGUCUUUAAAUGCUGCUGUCUGUAUUAUUUACAUUUGCAACAAUCUAGCUUUUAUUAAUAAUUUCAAUGCAACAAAUAUUAGUAAGUAAAUACAACUCUCAUGAUAGCUAACACCAUCAAGGGAUAUUUAGGAAGUUCAGUGCUUCUCUACAGCCAUUCAAGGUAAACCAUUAGAUAAAUUUUUACAUAAUUUCUAUUUAUAACUGCUAAUACGAUUUAUAAACUUUUACAAUCUCCCCUCUUAAUAACAACCCUUUCCUAUAAGAUGUCAUUUCAAUACACUAAUUCUAACAAUCACCUAAAGCUUGCCUCAAAUUUUGACUGUCCCGACACCUAGUGUGCAAUAGAAACUAGGAUUUAGUCUAUGUUAUUAUAAAAAAACCCAAUACCCAGAAGUAUACAAUGUUGCGCAACUGCUCUGUCACUACCUUCAGUUUUCUGACACAAUUUCAUACUUUCUAAUUACAAGGGGAAAUGACUAGAAAAUUGAACCAUUUAUCAUGAAGUUGGACACUGACUGAAACUCCCAACAGUGGCUUAAUUCCAAAUAGUCCUACUGUCUGUUUUCAUAUCAAUACAGGCAGUCCUCGGGUUACCUCAGCUGCCGCGCUUGUGGAUUUUUUUUAUGUCUAUUGAUCUGAAAACAGACAAUAUGUGGUACAGCAAUGUGUAUUCAAAGGCCUUAGUGGUAAACACCCACACAUAACAAAUGUGUCAAAUGUUUCACGGAGAAACAGGAUAAAGUACAUGUGCCAAUAAAUUUUUUUUAAAUUAACAUUAAAGGGACAAGGACAUUGUGACUUUGCAUUUUCUAAGUACUCUAAUAACUUUAAAAUAUAUCUCAGCAUACCUAAUACUGAACUAAUUUCCUUAAAAAAAACUUCCUUUUUUUUUUUAGACCCUUAAGGACAACCACAGCCAUUUUUUCUUUAGUGGUAAAAGGAUAAAAAUAAAAAAGGGGUUGGAGGGGUAAGGAAAGUGGGUGUCCUCUUUAAUGACCGUUUCUUUCCUUCCAGUGAAACUGUAAACAAUGAGGUGAGAAACUCUAAACUGCAGGUGCAGAACACAUUUUAUUGCAACAAAGGUUUCUAGAUAAAAAAGAAAAUAUUUUUUUAUAUACAUAUCACUAUCAGUCUUCUAAAACAGAAAAAAGUUUAAAAAAAAAAAUAAAAAAAAAAUGAGGCAGGCCAGGAAGGAUUUCCAAAGACUUUAUUUUAUGAAAAAAACAAACCAGGCGGCUUUACUAAGUUCCCCCUCAAACAGCACUAGACUUUUGAGGUUCUCUUUAUCUUCAAUCUUUCCUAUUUUGUGCAUGUUCUAUAGACCUAUACUUAAAGCAAUUUUUUGCUAAAUAGCACCUCAACAAGUUCUUUCACCACACACGCUGGGCUUAACCUUCAAUUUCGAGUAAUCUUCCAAAAUCAGCAAAGCAUAUCUAUGAAAUUCAACCCACCAAAAUAUAAUACAAAAAUAAAAAUAAAAUAAGAAAUAAAUGGAUAAAAUCAAAAAUUUAAAAGCAGACCCAUGCAAAUGAUAAAAUCUCACAGCCAUUUAUCACUUGAUCUUACAUCCAUCCAAAUCUUUGGUUUCCAACUGUCACAUGGACAACCAUUCUGCCAUCUCAUCAACGUAAUGCAACCAGAUAAUCUUAAAUAACAUUUUUCUUUUGUAUUUAUCUUUUUAAAGAGAUCAGGACCAGGCUAUUGCUGCAUGCAACACAGAAGAUUGUCUUGCCAUCUAUUCACAAAAACUGCAGGUAAUGCUCAAAACAAAAGACGACUAUGACUGUGGGGAGCUUCACAAAAAUCUAGUAAAGUUUACAAAUGACACAAAUAUGCAGAUCAACAUUGGGUCAAAGCAAAUUUUACUAGACUGAACUUCUUCCAGCAUAUAAAAAGCUGUAUAUGUAUGAUUGCUCAUGGUAAACUAAGUAAUGCUUCUCUUUCUCUGUACACUUCUCUUUAGCUUUAGAGGUGCACCUGCCAUAAAAACAAUUAGACAAGUACUUUUUAAACCCUUUAAUUCUCAAAGACUACCUGUUCUUUACAAAACUUUUCUGAUUCAUGUUUUAAGCAAUAUUUUUUCUUUUUCUUGUGCAUAUCAACUGCACAGAGCAGCUAAAAUGUCCUCAGCAAAAAGAUACAAACAUGCAUGUCACUAACAAAACUAAAAAUGCAAGUCUCUACAUUAAAUCUAGGAUCUGACCACAACCCAACAAAAGCGUCGUGAAAACUGGACAUUUAAACCAUAUGACAGGUUUUAUCUACCAUGUUUGGCGCACCCAUAAAAUCAUCAAAAGCUUGAUGGCAAAAACCAUUCAUAUAUGGUUUAUCUGUUGCAUUCUUGUGAUCAAGGACGAUUUUUAUUUUUUGAACAUAAGAACAAGUGCAUCCAAAAUAAAGCUGUAGCAACCCUGCUGCCUUUGUAUCUCUCACUGACCCCACUCCAGAGCAACAAGAUUACAAUUAUCCCAAUCUAUAAAUCAAACAUUUCUUGUCUAUGCACAAAUUCUUUUUCUCUCUCUGCUAUAGUUUAUACUGUUAUCACAGAGCAUGGUGUCUUGUCCUUGCUAAACUUCAAUGACUUUUACUUGUGUCUGCACCACUUAUGUGCUCUAUCACAGCCCUGUUGUUCAACAGUUGUGCACAGCUAUUAAUCAACUGACAUCUAUUCAAACUGUUGUCAGCAGCAGGCUGUUCAAGGCAAGUGAAGGCUGCGUAGGAAACCCCGUGGGGACAGGUACAGGUCUGCUGUUUCUUCUUUCUUUUUACACUUUAUCACGAAGACCACAUGCAUCACAACUGGCACAUGACUUGGCCAUCAGAAGCUGCAUGAAUGGGAUGACCCAAGCCCUUUUCAAGCACAGGUCUCCACUGACUCAUCAGUAUGACAGGCACAAUAUCCAUGGCAAUCUUUCAAGAAAUCUACAUUUCAUUUUCCUGAUGAUGAGGUGGGGCGGGGGGUAACAAAAUGGGCCAUCUCAUAUGCCAUAAAACAUUUGCACAUUGUGUGCAUGUGAGAGUGUCUGUGUAGGCACAUUCACACAUGCAUGACUGUAUAUGAAUUAUGGGUACACAAUGAGUGGCAUGGAAAGCGGGAACGAGGAAGGCUUCGUUAAAGUGUGGGUGAAAUACAAAGGAAUGGGAAAAAAGAG